RNAcentral lists this ribosomal RNA (551 nucleotides) under uncultured archaeon. RNAcentral describes it as "bacterial SSU rRNA". It matches the Rfam family "Archaeal small subunit ribosomal RNA", at positions 325 to 876 of the family's 1478-position model. The record is from RNAcentral.
ACGGGGUGCAGCAGGCGCGAAACCUCCGCAAUGCACGCAAGUGCGACGGGGAACCCCAAGUGCCACUCUUAACGGGGUGGCUUUUCAGAAGUGUAAAAAGCUUCUGGAAUAAGGGCUGGGCAAGACCGGUGCCAGCCGCCGCGGUAACACCGGCAGCUCAAGUGGUAGCCGCUUUUAUUGGGCCUAAAGCGUCCGUAGCCGGUCUGAUAAGUCUCUGGUGAAAUCCCACAGCUUAACUGUGGGAAUUGCUGGAGAUACUAUCAUGACUCGAGGUCGGGAGAGGCAGGAGGUACUCCCAGGGUAGGGGUGAAAUCCUGUAAUCCUGGGAGGACCACCUGUGGCGAAGGCGUCCAGCUGGAACGAACCUGACGGUGAGGGACGAAAGCCAGGGGCGCGAACCGGAUUAGAUACCCGGGUAGUCCUGGCCGUAAACGAUGUGGACUUGGUGUUGGGAUGGCUUCGAGCUGCCCCAGUGCCGAAGGGAAGCUGUUAAGUCCACCGCCUGGGAAGUACGGCCGCAAGGCUGAAACUUAAAGGAAUUGGCGGGGGAG